RNAcentral lists this ribosomal RNA (527 nucleotides) under uncultured bacterium. RNAcentral describes it as "bacterial SSU rRNA". It matches the Rfam family "Bacterial small subunit ribosomal RNA", at positions 338 to 873 of the family's 1533-position model. The record is from RNAcentral.
CCUACGGGAGGCAGCAGUGGGGAAUAUUGGACAAUGGGCGGAAGCCUGAUCCAGCCAUGCCGCGUGUGUGAAGAAGGCCUUUUGGUUGUAAAAGCACUUUAAGCGAGGAGGAGGCUACUAGUACUAAUACUACUGGAUAGUGGACGUUACUCGCAGAAUAAGCACCGGCUAACUCUGUGCCAGCAGCCGCGGUAAUACAGAGGGUGCGAGCGUUAAUCGGAUUUACUGGGCGUAAAGCGUGCGUAGGCGGCUUUUUAAGUCGGAUGUGAAAUCCCCGAGCUUAACUUGGGAAUUGCAUUCGAUACUGGGAAGCUAGAGUAUGGGAGAGGAUGGUAGAAUUCCAGGUGUAGCGGUGAAAUGCGUAGAGAUCUGGAGGAAUACCGAUGGCGAAGGCAGCCAUCUGGCCUAAUACUGACGCUGAGGUACGAAAGCAUGGAGACAACAGAUAGAUACCUACGUAGUCAUGACCGUAACGAUGUCUACUAGUCCGGUUCGGGUCCGGUUCGUAGGUCGUUUAGUUGGUCGCG